AAAGUCUCACACAGCCAAAUGAUCUUUGCAAGCGAGCCGAGCCGAAGGCAGAAACUCUUUUACAAGUGCCGACCUCACGUCGCAUCGCACGAGGGGGAAUUUAUCCUGAUAAUCAGAAACACUUCGCUGCUGCACAAAGUACGGAACAUGCUCCUGAAAGCAGUGCUGUUGGCCAUUCUUGAAUUGGGAAAUACUCUCACCAGCAAUGAUUUGAAGCUCGUGUUCGCCGAAAACAAUGCCACAGAUAAAAGAAGUGUGAGGAUCCUGGUCCAGGCUGUGUGCGAGUGCCAACCACAAACAAGACAUUUCCAGAGUGCUGUCAAACAAACUGCUCAGAACUGAAAUAUGCUUGCAAGUUACCAGGCGGUGAUCUGCUGAGCGAUGGAGAAGAUCGCAACUCGACAAAACCUUGUGUGCAUUACGAAUGCAAAGGUGGAAACCUAACUACAACAGAGUGCCCGCCACAGACUGACCCAAAUUGCUUUCCUUCUCUUGGAACUGACCAACCUUUUCCCACGUGUUGUGGGGUGGCUACAUUCUGCACAAGUGGGACAGGUAAUAAACAUCGGAGGCAGAAGCGAUCGAAGAAAUCGGGAGAAAAGAGGAAGAAGAAGAAAUCGGGCACUAGUUAAGCUUUGUAAGGCAGACAUUUUGGGACACAUGAAAUACAUCUCGUAGGCUGUAAAUCAUUGCAAAUAAAAUGCAAACAAAAUGU
Molecule: long non-coding RNA, 715 nt
Organism: Dermacentor silvarum
Lineage: Eukaryota; Metazoa; Arthropoda; Arachnida; Ixodida; Ixodidae
Exons: 5
Source: RefSeq, a predicted model, not a curated record